Molecule: ribosomal RNA, 193 nt
Filed under: gamma proteobacterium P14
Lineage: Bacteria; Pseudomonadati; Pseudomonadota; Gammaproteobacteria
Description: partial 16S ribosomal RNA
Rfam family: Bacterial small subunit ribosomal RNA
Source: RNAcentral
CCUACGGGAGGCAGCAGUGGGGAAUAUUGCACAAUGGGCGCAAGCCUGAUGCAGCCAUGCCGCGUGUAUGAAGAAGCCUUCGGGUUGUAAAGUACUUUCAGUCGUGAGGAAGGUGGUGUUGUUAAUAGCAGCAUCAUUUGACGUUAGCGACAGAAGAAGCACCGGCUAACCCCGUGCCAGCAGCCGCGGUAAU